CUACGGGGGGCACCAGUGAGGAAUAUUGCACAAUGGGGGGAACCCUGAUGCAGCAACGCCGCGUGGAGGAUGACGCAUUUCGGUGUGUAAACUCCUUUUAUAUGUCAAGAAAAUGACGGUAGCAUAUGAAUAAGCACCGGCUAACUUCGUGCCAGCAGCCGCGGUAAUACGGAGGGUGCAAGCGUUACUCGGAAUCACUGGGCGUAAAGGACGCGUGGGCGGGUUGGAAAGUCAGGUGUGAAAUCCUACAGCUUAACUGUAGAACUGCACUUGAAACUUCUAAUCUAGAGUAUGGGAGGGGGAGAUGGAAUUAGUGGUGUAGGGGUAAAAUCCGUAGAUAUCACUAGGAAUACCUAAAGCGAAGGCGAUCUCCUGGAACAUUACUGACGCUAAGGCGUGAAAGCGUGGGGAGCAAACGGGAUUAGAUACCCCAGUAGUC
RNAcentral lists this ribosomal RNA (439 nucleotides) under uncultured bacterium. Its description in RNAcentral is "partial 16S ribosomal RNA". It matches the Rfam family "Bacterial small subunit ribosomal RNA", at positions 339 to 795 of the family's 1533-position model. The record is from RNAcentral.